GAUAGAACGUAGCGAAAUGCGAUACGUAAUGUGAAUUGCAGAAUUCAGUGAAUCAUCGAGUCUUUGAACGCACAUUGCGCCCCCUGGUAUUCCGGGGGGCAUGCCUGUCCGAGCGUCAUUGCUGCCCUCAAGCACGGCUUGUGUGUUGGGCCUCCGUCCUCCUCCCGGGGGACGGGCCCGAAAGGCAGCGGCGGCACCGCGUCCGGUCCUCGAGCGUAUGGGGCUUCGUCACCCGCUCUUGUAGGCCCGGCCGGCGCUUGCCGACACAUCAAUCUUUUUUCCAGGUUGACCUCGGAUCAGGUAGGGAUACCCGCUGAACUUAAGCAUAUCAAUAAGCGGAGGA
This 343-nucleotide unclassified non-coding RNA is filed under the name soil metagenome. RNAcentral describes it as "partial contains 5.8S ribosomal RNA, internal transcribed spacer 2, and large subunit ribosomal RNA". The stretch from base 4 to 118 matches the Rfam family "5.8S ribosomal RNA", at positions 40 to 154 of the family's 154-position model. The record is from RNAcentral.